Molecule: ribosomal RNA, 253 nt
Filed under: uncultured bacterium
Lineage: Bacteria
Description: partial 16S ribosomal RNA
Rfam family: Bacterial small subunit ribosomal RNA
Source: RNAcentral
AACGUAGGUUCCGAGCGUUAUCCGGAUUUACUGGGCGUAAAGCGCGUUCAGGCGGUUUGGCAAGUCGGGCAUGAAAUCUCUCGGCUCAACCGGGAGAGGUUGUCCGAUACUUCCAGACUUGAGGGCAGUAGAGGGUGGUGGAAUUCCGGGUGUAGUGGUGAAAUGCGCAGAUAUCGGGAAGAACACCCGUGGCGAAGGCGGCUCUCUGGGACGGUACUGACGCUGAGACGCGAAAGCGUGGGGAGCGAACAGG